GAAGGUGGGAGUAGGACUUGGGAGACCAAUAAGCUGGGGAAGAAUAAAAGAGAAAAGUAGCGGUAGAUGUAUAUCAUAUCUUAUACAUAACAUAUAAUUACUAUGAAACACAUAUGUUUACAGCAUUUGAAUUGGAUGGUUACCAUAUUGGAUCAACCCUCUCCCAUAUUAAUACACAGUUAAUAAGAUAUUGAUCUGUAUUGGGUUAUGAGAUAUGAGUAAUAGGACACAAUUUAAAGCACAUAGAGGUCAUAAUGCAGAUAAAUAAAGAAUGUUUCAUAUACCAAACUUGAGAUUGUAAGAUUUUGAGGGGUGUUGUACCUUGAACAAGAAAAGGAAACUUCUCUAGUUAAUGCAUAAUUAACAUUCAAUGAACCAGAAGUGGGAUACGAAGAAAACAUACCUAUACUCGAAUUCAUAGAUUAAUCAAUAUAGAGAUGAGACUUUAAUGCUUCCAUCAGCCAUGGUAACAUGGCGGGCUCUUUCCAUCACAAACUAUGUCACCAUUAGAGAAUGCAGAUCCAUUAUACAGCUGCAUACCUGGAGUCUGUCCUUGUUUACAAUACAAUAUUUCAAAAUGUGAUCUAUACAGCUGCAUACCUGUGUGCCAUCACCCAACUGCCCUGCACAGGAUCUAAGCCUCCCUUGUAUGUAAAGUAGCAGCAUAGGUGUCAGCCAAGUGGCCCGCAUGAGCCCCACCCCUGGAUAUGCGGCCCUCCACCUCUUUUACAGCUUCCUUUAUUCUUUUCUAUAUUUUUACCAAGUUAUUUCUAAAUUUUCUAAUCUUUUAUCUAUUAUGACGAAUUUAUUGGCUCUUAAUUUUCUUUUAAAUAUGAACUGCAUAGCUGCCCACGUAAGUGGUUGUCCGCCAGUUAGGCUCGAUGUGAGACCUUGAUUUUUGGCAUACAGCCAACCACUUUUUCAAACUUUGAACAAAUGACAAAUGACAUGCACGGUAACAAGCAGGGAACAGGGAACCAUAGUCACCCAUUGGCUCAACAUUCCACAUGAUUAUGUGCAGAUGGAGAGAGAAACCACCAUGUCAAACAUAUAUACAUAAUACACAUGCAAUAGUUUCAUGAUACCUUCACAAUUUUUACAAGAACAACUUGUUAGAAAUUCUUUGAAAAGGCGUUGACCAAUUAUAAUAUGCAUCAUCUGGCAUUGCGAUUUGCAGCAAAGUAAGACACAAAUCUUAGGUGAUGAUGAACAAAAAUAUCCAAAUCAUUAACCAUAUAUUGAAGAGAAGACAUAUACAAAUAGGUCUCUCAAUUGAAACAAUGAGGAACAUGUUGGCAAUUUUUUAGAGCAGCAAACUCCCCCACAUCACAAAGUGGAAACUCUCACAUAGGAACCAAUGGUGCCCAAUUUUGGCCCUUACUAUUCUCCUAAUCAGGAGAAUUCUCCAAAGAUUUGAUCCAAAAGCAAAACUAUCAUGUCCAUAGUUAUCCUUCACGCUACUAGGAUUAGGCACAUGUAAUGCAUGUGGGAGAGAGGAUGGAUAGCAGUCGUACGAUGCAGGUACGAGGGACGGGAAACUAUAAUGGUUCUUGUUAGGGAUGCACAUCUUUCUCUAUUUAAUAUACAAAAUAAAUGCCUUAAAUUUUAAAGAGAAAUAAAAUCUGACAAGAACUGAAUCUGAUGAGUGGUGAGUACAUAGAAAAGAUAAAGAUUUAGUUAGCUCCUCUUCUUUCAAAAAAUCUAAUUCCAUAAAUUCUCCAUUUAACUUGAUCAGUUAGACACUUUGGGAUAUUCACGUAUCUGUAUCUAAUAGGCCACAGAGCAAACGGGGAUUGGGAAUAUGAACGCAUGCAAGGAAAAAAAACAAAAAUAUGGAAUGGGAUCGGGUUUCUAUUCUCCCAUCCUCGUUGGGGUCUUCUUUUUCUUUUAAAAGUUUUAACAACUUCAGAUAACCUCACUUUCUUUUUUUUUCUCCUCCUAUAUGAGUUCAUUGCACAUCAGAUGGACAUUCAAGUGUUUGCAUUAUAUACUAGUACAGACAUCUAAUCAAUCCUCACCUAUAUUAGCAAAAUAAUGCAGCCUUCCAGUUAAAUCUGUAUUAAAGAUGGUUUGGAGGCCCUAAAAAAGGAAUUUUGGGCGUUUAAAGAGAAUUUGUGGGCACUGUACAUAAACUCCACUGAGAAGUCCUCAUUAGGAGCUGGCAGAUCUGGAUUUGGUUUUCUAAGCAUCUAGAUUUCAUUUUCUAAGCAUACAGUAGCACAAUAAAAACAAAGGGAAGGACCUCACUGCUGUUUUGAGCCAAGAGUUUAAGAUCUAAUUAAUUAGUUAACGUCAAACAGCACUUAUGAAGUAGACUUCCAGCAUAUUAAAGCAUGUAAACAGUGAAAGGAACAAAAAGUGGGAAGAAUAGUAAGGAAGAGGAAAUUAAACGCAAGUACAAAGAGGACUUAAACUCCAAAAGGAAAAAGAGAUUGAGAUAGAGGAGAAGAAAGUAGAAGAAUUCUGACUGGAAUCCACUACUAGAGUCAAAAAACACUAACUCAAAUUUCAUCAGUUCUCCAUAGCACUUAUUUCCCUAAUACAUGCUUUUACAUAGAUACUAGAUGACUCUUCAUAUCCCUGCACACUAAUGCAUCAUGACUUCCUAAAGACAGGGUCACAGAGAAUAAGUACUUCUGUUAACUCUAAAAAGAUUCGUGCAUAAAGCAUAACUAUCGAAGCCUAAAAAUUUGAAAACUACAUUCAUGAGCCAAAACAAGUAUUUAAAGCUUAACCACAAAUUAUUGACUACCUAAUAAACCUCUUGACUUAGACUAAGAUAUGAAGUAGGUAUAUAGGCUCCCCAAAAUGGGUUGAUCAGAAAAAGAUUAAUUCUUUGAUCUUGGAUUAUUGAAGAGGAGAAGUGGAGAAUAUAUAAUACCUAAGAUGCAAAGGGAUAAGAUAGAGAGUCAUUUUGUUUUUUCUAAAUUCCAAGAACUAAUUACAUAAAUUGAAAUCCCUUAUUUAAACAAAAGGAAGACUUUGACUAGACAUUAGUCCCUAAGUACCCCUUAUAAGUGGCAGGCCCCACCAUGAGAAAGAAAAGGAUAAAGGAUGCAUUCUCAUUGGGGCAUACAGAUGCCCAAUACAAAAGAAAAGGCAGCAAGCAUCCCUUCUCUUCUACUCCUCUCUUUUGUUCAUAGGCAGCCCACCUAAGGAGACAUACAACCCAAAUCUAAGGGCUCAGAUGGCUUACUUUAUUAGGCUAUGCCACAUAAAUUGCUUACCUAACCAUCCAAACGGAUCUGACAUGUUUUAAGCUCAGAUCAUGACUCGUAAUGACUUACUAAGCCUGAAUAUAUAUAUAUAUAUAAGAAUUAAGCAAACUACAAACAAAAUACGUAAGAUGUUGACAAUCCCAACCCUUCAAUGCAUCACAAGAUAAUCUCCAACUCCACUCCAAUAGUAUUUUCUCCCCCAAAAUCAUUAUACUGCAAACAAUCAACACUGCAGAACACUGUAGGCAUCUUUUAUUCAAGUCUUAAUGCAGGUUAGAUAGCAUUUAUUCUAAUAUUUUCAUUGCUAAGGGGCUCACUGAUGCAAUCACUAUUGAAGAAAGGGUUUUAUGGUCUAAGGGAGGACAUAACAGAUAGAAAAACCAGCCUAGAAGGCUUCCUGAUUGUUCAUCCGAGCAAAGGAGGGCUGAGAUUGCAUGAUCAUCGAUUUAUGAAGGUGUACUUGGGCAGUAUAUAUCGAAUUAGUGCUUUAGAGGAGCAAACAAAAGCCUGAUUGAAUGGUUCGGAUUUUAAUUGGUGUCUAAUUGAGUUUAGGGGUAAUUCAGGAAGAUCUUCUAAAAUGAGGAAAAAGGGUCAUUGUUCACACUACAGUACCAUGAACAUUGAUACCCAACUAAAGCCAUUGUACCAAAAUCCUAGGAGUCUAAGACUCCAAAAUAGGAAGGAAUAGUAGUCGUUUGGAUUUAUAAGGGGACUGCCCUAGUUGUCCAAAACAUUGUACUAAGAUAUCAUUGAGUAUUAAGAGAAGGCCCAGUACGGCUUUCCUCCUUUAUUUUUUUCUUCUCUUAUUGUCCCUUAUUUCUUAACUUUCUACUAGGUUCUCCUUUCUUACAUAUUCGGCUACUCUUCUUCUUCUUUGCUGGAUAAAUGCAUCAUAAAUUAAUUUCUGCACAUUAUUAGAAUCUGCUCUAGUAGAUUACUGCUGUUAUUUUUUUCUUGACUGCUAGAUUACCAAAUAAUUGAAUCCAAUUUCUUCUGUAACCAAAGCUUGAUCCAAACCGGGCACUUACUUUUCACUUCUUCUAAUCUAAUUGAACCUGUCUUACAAUUAAGUUCACCUAGGUUGACAUUCUCUUGCAAAUAUUUUGAAACCUCCCAGAAAAUCUAGGGAUAAUGUACGAACUUCCCCUUC
This 4368-nucleotide long non-coding RNA is filed under the name Phoenix dactylifera (date palm). RNAcentral's name for it is "long non-coding RNA (PDAC_LNC003839)". The record is from RNAcentral. Lineage: Eukaryota; Viridiplantae; Streptophyta; Magnoliopsida; Arecales; Arecaceae.